CCAGUCGGCCGGACAGCCGCUGCCGCAAGUGCCGAAAGGCCGCGGGGGAGGAAAGUCCGGGCUCCAAGGAAACACGGUGCCGGGUAACGCCCGGCGGGGGCGACCCCAGGGAAAGUGCCACAGAAAGCAAACCGCCCCGAAUGCAGGUCUUGAAUCUGUUGGCGGGGUAAGGGUGAAAGGGUGGGGUAAGAGCCCACCGCGCGGCCGGCAACGGACGCGGCACGGUAAACCCCACCGGGAGCAAAACCGAAUAGGGGCGACGCGGGCUCAGAAGCGAUUUUGAGACCAGGCCGGUUUCCGGGCCAGUCGCUCGGGUAGGUUGCGAGAGGCGUUCGGCAACGGGCGUCCCAGAUGAAUGGCUGUCACGUAUGGGGCUUCGGCCUCGUGCCAUACAGAACCCGGCUUAUAGGCCGACUGGCAUU
This 422-nucleotide RNase P RNA is filed under the name Roseibium polysiphoniae. RNAcentral describes it as "RNase P RNA component class A". It matches the Rfam family "Bacterial RNase P class A". From Rfam's summary of the family: Ribonuclease P (RNase P) is a ubiquitous endoribonuclease, found in archaea, bacteria and eukarya as well as chloroplasts and mitochondria. Lineage: Bacteria; Pseudomonadati; Pseudomonadota; Alphaproteobacteria; Hyphomicrobiales; Stappiaceae. The record is from RNAcentral.